AAGCUUCAUAAAGCAAAAGGUGUUGUUUCAUUUGUUAGUUUGUUUUGCAAUAAAUACUGAUCAACUCUCCGUUCUUAUUUUAUUCUUUGUGACUUUACAUGAUGUUAGGCAGUCAGCACUCCCCACUGAGGGUAUUUAUUGGGCUUCUCUGUGCUGGAGACCACAAGCUCAGUGAGGGCAGUAGCAGACCUCUUAUUUGCCAUUAUAAUCUCAGCACUUAACAUCAUGUAUGGUGAGCAUGAAUUUUGGAUAUAGUUAGUAAUUAAAAAGAAUUCACCCUAUGUCUUUAUCACUGCUUGGCACCUGAGGAUGUCAGAAGAAUAUUAAAAUACAUUGCCUCCUCUUAGAGGCCAUCAGCACAACUAGAGAUGCAAAUUAAUAAAUGUACAUCAGUAUAAGACAUUAUAUAAUUAAUACUUGGCUUGAAUUUCACAAAGUAUAAAUCAUGUAGGUAUUCAUUAAAGUGGACCUUCUACAGAACAGGGGAAUCAUGGAAGUGAUAACUGAGUAAAGUUCAGAGAAGAAAUAUGUGCAAGAAACAGGAGAACUUUGGUUUCCACAUGAUUGGAGCAAGACAUUGAGCACUUGAUGGAGGAAAAAUCAUAAAGCCUUGGAGGUGCGAGAGGAUGCAGGGCUCCUUGAAAAGAAAAGAGAGUGUUUCGAAAUUGGGUAGCAUUUAUGUGUUGAUAAUAAAGGAUUCUGAAAGGCAAGUAAAGCACUUUUUUUUUUUUAGAAAAAAAGAGAGUGAUCUAAUGAAUAUUUGUAAGGAAAAGAAUCACUUGAUGGUAUCUUGCAGAAGCUAAGGCAAGUUAUAAAAUGGACAGACUGAAGGUGCAGUGGGUUAGGAAUCCACUGCCGCAGCUCAGGUCACUGCAAAGUUGUGGGUUCGAUCCCAGGCCUGGCACAGUUAAGGGAUCGAGGAUCUGGUGUUGCCACAGCUGUGGGGUAGGUCACAACUGCAGCUUGGAUUUAAUCCCUGGCCCCAGAACAUCCAUAUGCCACAGGUGUGGCCAUAAAAAAGGGGUUAAAAAAGUGGGGUGGGGUGGAAUCCCAUUGUGGCUCAGCAGAAAUGAAUCUGACUAGCACCCAUGAGGACACAGGUUCAAUCCUUGGCCUCACUCAGUCUGUUGAGGAUCCAGCGAUGCCAUGAGCUGUGGUGUAGGUCACAGACAUGGCUUGGAUCCUACAAUGCUGUGGCCGUGGUGUAGGCCAGCGGCUACAGCUCUGAUUUGACCCCUAGCCUGGGAACCUCCAUAAGCUGCGAGUGUGAU
RNAcentral lists this long non-coding RNA (1271 nucleotides) under Sus scrofa (pig). RNAcentral's name for it is "lncRNA (ENSSSCG00060013874.1)". The record is from RNAcentral. Lineage: Eukaryota; Metazoa; Chordata; Mammalia; Artiodactyla; Suidae.